CCUACGGGAGGCAGCAGUAAGGAAUAUUGGUCAAUGGACGAAAGUCUGAACCAGCCAUGCCGCGUGAAGGAUGAAGGUCCUCUGGAUUGUAAACUUCUUUUAUCUGGGACGAAAAAAGGGCUUUCUAGCUCACUUGACGGUACCAGAGGAAUAAGCACCGGCUAACUCCGUGCCAGCAGCCGCGGUAAUACGGAGGGUGCAAGCGUUAUCCGGAUUUACUGGGUUUAAAGGGAGCGUAGGUGGGCAGGUAAGUCAGUGGUGAAAUCUCUGGGCUUAACCCGGAAACUGCCAUUGAUACUAUCUGUCUUGAAUAUCCUGGAGGUAAGCGGAAUAUGUCAUGUAGCGGUGAAAUGCUUAGAUAUGACAUAGAACACCCAUUGCGAAGGCAGCUUACUACGGGAUUAUUGACACUGAGGCUCGAAAGCGUGGGGAUCAAACAGGAUUAGAUACCCUGGUAGUCCACGCCCUAAACGAUGGAUACUCGACAUCAGCGANACACUGUUGUGUNUGAGNGAAGANAUAAUAUACCACCNCGGAGACGACGACGAGUAGUAACGUACAAUAGAGUAGACGCGUGAGAGAGACGACGACGACGACGAGGGAGGAGG
Molecule: ribosomal RNA, 608 nt
Filed under: uncultured bacterium
Lineage: Bacteria
Description: bacterial SSU rRNA
Rfam family: Bacterial small subunit ribosomal RNA (bases 1-532)
Source: RNAcentral